UUCGCAUGAAGCAGUGUGAAAAACUCCGGUGGUACAAGAUGGACCCGCGUCUGAUUAGCUGGUUGGUGAGGUAACGGCCCACCAAGGCGACGAUCAGUAGCCGGCCUGAGAGGGUGAACGGCCACAUUGGGACUGAGACACGGCCCAAACUCCUACGGGAGGCAGCAGUGGGGAAUAUUGCACAAUGGGGGAAACCCUGAUGCAGCAACGCCGCGUGAGUGAAGAAGUAUUUCGGUAUGUAAAGCUCUAUCAGCAGGAAAGAAAAUGACGGUACCUGACUAAGAAGCCCCGGCUAACUACGUGCCAGCAGCCGCGGUAAUACGUAGGGGGCAAGCGUUAUCCGGAUUUACUGGGUGUAAAGGGAGCGUAGACGGUUUUGCAAGUCUGAAGUGAAAGCCCGGGGCUUAACCCCGGGACUGCUUUGGAAACUGUAGAACUAGAGUGCAGGAGAGGUAAGUGGAAUUCCUAGUGUAGCGGUGAAAUGCGUAGAUAUUAGGAGGAACACCAGUGGCGAAGGCGGCUUACUGGACUGUAACUGACGUUGAGGCUCGAAAGCGUGGGGAGCAAACAAGAUUAGAUACCCUGGUAGUCCACGCCGUA
RNAcentral lists this ribosomal RNA (600 nucleotides) under uncultured bacterium. RNAcentral describes it as "bacterial SSU rRNA". It matches the Rfam family "Bacterial small subunit ribosomal RNA", at positions 185 to 804 of the family's 1533-position model. The record is from RNAcentral.